This 423-nucleotide ribosomal RNA is filed under the name Salmonella enterica subsp. enterica. RNAcentral's name for it is "bacterial SSU rRNA". It matches the Rfam family "Archaeal small subunit ribosomal RNA", at positions 318 to 746 of the family's 1478-position model. Lineage: Bacteria; Pseudomonadati; Pseudomonadota; Gammaproteobacteria; Enterobacterales; Enterobacteriaceae. The record is from RNAcentral.
AGUGCCUACGGGGGGCAGCAGUCGCGAAACCUUUACAAUGCGCGAAAGCGCGAUAGGGGGAUUUCGAGUGCCGGCUUUGCCGGCUUUUGCCAAACCUAAAAAGCUUGGCGAAUAAAUGGGGGGUAAGAUACGUGCCAGCCGCCGCGGUAAUACGUACUCCACAAGUGGUAUCCACUAAUAUUGGGCUUAAAGCGUUUGUAGCCUGUUUUGUAAGUCCUCGGUGAAAGCAAACAGCUUAACUGUUUGAAUUGCCAAGGAUACUGCAAGGCUAGAGGGAGGGAGACGUCAAGGGAAUUUCCGGGGUAACGGUGAAAUGUUGUGAUCCUGGAAAGACCACCAGUAGCGAAGGCGCUUGACGAGAACUAUCCUGACGGUGAGAGACGAAAGCUGGGGGAGCGACCCGGAUUAGAUACCCUUGUAGUC